AGCGAACAGAUAAGGAGCUUGCUCCUUUGACGUUAGCGGCGGACGGGUGAGUAACACGUGGAUAACCUACCUAUAAGACUGGGAUAACUUCGGGAAACCGGAGCUAAUACCGGAUAAGAUUUUGAACCGCAUGGUUCAAUAGUGAAAGACGGCCUUGCUGUCACUUAUAGAUGGAUCCGCGCCGUAUUAGCUAGUUGGUAAGGUAACGGCUUACCAAGGCAACGAUACGUAGCCGACCUGAGAGGGUGAUCGGCCACACUGGAACUGAGACACGGUCCAGACUCCUACGGGAGGCAGCAGUAGGGAAUCUUCCGCAAUGGGCGAAAGCCUGACGGAGCAACGCCGCGUGAGUGAUGAAGGUCUUCGGAUCGUAAAA
This 376-nucleotide ribosomal RNA is filed under the name uncultured Staphylococcus sp. RNAcentral describes it as "bacterial SSU rRNA". It matches the Rfam family "Bacterial small subunit ribosomal RNA", at positions 65 to 430 of the family's 1533-position model. Lineage: Bacteria; Bacillati; Bacillota; Bacilli; Caryophanales; Staphylococcaceae. The record is from RNAcentral.